AACGAACGCUGGCGGCAUGCCUAACACAUGCAAGUCGAACGAGACCUUCGGGUCUUUUGGCGCACGGGUGCGUAACGCGUGGGAACCUGCCCUUAGGUUCGGAAUAACUCCCCGACAGGGGUGCUAAUACCGGAUAAUGUCUUCGGCCCAAAGAUUUAUCGCCUUUGGAUGGGCCCGCGUUGGAUUAGCUAGUUGGUAGGGGAAAAGCCUACCAAGGCGACGAUCCAUAGCUGGUCUGAGAGGAGGAUCAGCCACACUGGGACUGAGACACGGCCCAGACUCCGACGGGAGGGAGCAGUGGGGAAUAUUGGACAAUGGGCGAAAGUCUGAUCCAGCAAUGCCGCGGGAGUGAUGAAUGCCUUAGGGUUGUAAAGCUCGUUUACCCGGGAUGAUAAUGACAGUACCGGGAGAAGAAGCGCCGGCUAACUCCGUG
Molecule: ribosomal RNA, 433 nt
Filed under: uncultured bacterium
Lineage: Bacteria
Description: partial 16S ribosomal RNA
Rfam family: Bacterial small subunit ribosomal RNA
Source: RNAcentral